CCGAGUUUACAACUCCCAAACCCCUGUGAACAUACCUACUGUUGCCUUCGGCGGGAUCAGCCCGGCGCCUCGGUGAAACGGAUCAGGCGCCCGCCUAGGAACCCUAACUCUGUUUCUAUAUGGAAUCUUCUGAGUAGUACCAUAAUAAAUCA
RNAcentral lists this unclassified non-coding RNA (152 nucleotides) under soil metagenome. RNAcentral's name for it is "partial internal transcribed spacer 1". The record is from RNAcentral.